ACGAGGUGCUGCAUGGUUGUCGUCAGCUCGGUGCCGUGAGGUGUCGGGUUAAGUCCCAUAACGAGCGCAACCCCUACCUUUAGUUGCCAUCAGGUUAAGCUGGGGACUCUAAAGGAACUGCCUACGCAAGUAGUGAGGAAGCGGGGAUGACGUCAAAUCAGCACGGCCCUUACGUCCAGGGCUACACACGUGCUACAAUGGCCGAUACAGAGGGCAGCUACCUGGUGACAGGAUGCAAAUCUCCAAAGUCGGUCUCAGUUCGGAUCGGAGUCUGCAACCCGACUCCGUGAAGUUGGAUUCGCUAGUAAUCGCGCAUCAGCCAUGGCGCGGUGAAUACGUUCCCGGGCCUU
RNAcentral lists this ribosomal RNA (350 nucleotides) under uncultured Sphingobacteriales bacterium. RNAcentral describes it as "bacterial SSU rRNA". It matches the Rfam family "Bacterial small subunit ribosomal RNA", at positions 1033 to 1382 of the family's 1533-position model. The record is from RNAcentral. Lineage: Bacteria; Pseudomonadati; Bacteroidota; Sphingobacteriia; Sphingobacteriales.